RNAcentral lists this ribosomal RNA (256 nucleotides) under uncultured bacterium. RNAcentral describes it as "partial 16S ribosomal RNA". It matches the Rfam family "Bacterial small subunit ribosomal RNA", at positions 524 to 776 of the family's 1533-position model. The record is from RNAcentral.
UACGUAGGGCGCAAGCGUUGUCCGGAAUUAUUGGGCGUAAAGAGCUCGUAGGCGGUGUGUCGCGUCGGCCGUGAAAACUUGCAGCUUAACUGUGGGCGUGCGGUCGAUACGGGCAUCACUGGAGUUCGGCAGGGGAGACUGGAAUUCCUGGUGUAGCGGUGAAAUGCGCAGAUAUCAGGAGGAACACCGGUGGCGAAGGCGGUUCUCUGGGCCUGUACUGACGCUGGAGGAACGAAAAGCGUGGGGAGCGAACAGG